This 494-nucleotide ribosomal RNA is filed under the name uncultured bacterium. Its description in RNAcentral is "partial 16S ribosomal RNA". It matches the Rfam family "Bacterial small subunit ribosomal RNA", at positions 30 to 523 of the family's 1533-position model. The record is from RNAcentral.
UUGAACGCUGGCGGCGGGCCUAACACAUGCAAGUCGAGCGCGAAAGGUUUUCGGACUGAGUAAAGCGGCGGACGGGUGAGUAACGCGUGGGAAUCUGCCCAGUAGUGGGGGACAACAGUCGGAAACGACUGCUAAUACCGCAUACGCCCUACGGGGGAAAGGGGGGGAUCUUCGGACCUCUCGCUAUUGGAUGAGCCCGCGUCGGAUUAGCUAGUUGGUAGGGUAAAGGCCUACCAAGGCUACGAUCCGUAACUGGUCUGAGAGGAUGAUCAGUCACACUGGAACUGAGACACGGUCAGACUCCUACGGGAGGCAGCAGUGGGGAAUAUUGGACAAUGGGGCAACCCUGAUCCAGCCAUGCCGCGUGUGUGAAGAAGGCCUUAGGGUUGUAAAGCACUUUCAGUGGGGAGAAAGGUUUGUCACCUAAUACGUGAUGAAAUUGAUGUUACCCACAGAAGAAGCACCGGCUAACUCCGUGCCAGCAGCCGCCGCCG